UUCCUGGUGGCUAAGAGGUUAAAGCGUCUGUCUCCAAUGCAGGAGACCCAGGUUCGACCCCUGGGUUGGGAA
RNAcentral lists this transfer RNA (72 nucleotides) under Ovis aries (sheep). It matches the Rfam family "tRNA". Rfam says of the family: Transfer RNA (tRNA) molecules are approximately 80 nucleotides in length. Lineage: Eukaryota; Metazoa; Chordata; Mammalia; Artiodactyla; Bovidae. The record is from Rfam by way of RNAcentral.